This 72-nucleotide transfer RNA is filed under the name Camelus bactrianus (Bactrian camel). It matches the Rfam family "tRNA". From Rfam's summary of the family: Transfer RNA (tRNA) molecules are approximately 80 nucleotides in length. RNAcentral also lists the same sequence under 1 other name. Lineage: Eukaryota; Metazoa; Chordata; Mammalia; Artiodactyla; Camelidae. The record is from Rfam by way of RNAcentral.
GAACGUAUAGCUCAGUGGUAAAGCGUGUGCUUAGUAUGCAUGAGGUCCUGGGUUCAAUCCCUAGUACCUCCU